This 1376-nucleotide long non-coding RNA is filed under the name Homo sapiens (human). Its description in RNAcentral is "HSALNT0397465". The record is from RNAcentral. Lineage: Eukaryota; Metazoa; Chordata; Mammalia; Primates; Hominidae.
GAGCCGCAGGCUGCCAUCUUGCCCCAUGUGGGCACUGGAGAAUGGGGCUAGUGUAGAGAAGACCCUAGAAGAGAGAUGUGGAUGGGACAGGGUCCUUGUGGCAUCAUUUGAGAUUCUGAACCUGGAGCUGGGGCUGCUCCCAGAGUUUUUGGAUAUAUGAGCCAAUACAUCCCAUUUUGGCUUAAACCUGCUGUAGCUGUAGGACUGUGACCAAGAGUUCUAUUUCUAUGAGUCCCGCAGGCUUGUUUCCCCACCUCUAAAGGGAGAGAGUAAUCACUCCCGUGGUCUGUUAUGCCUCGUCAUUAUCUGUGUAUAGUAGAGAUAUCUUGGUGUAUAGCACCAAGCACAGGACUUGGACAGAGUUAACCACUCAAUAAACAGCAGCCAUGGCCGUCGUCAGGAGCAUUGUGGAGCACUGGAUGCUGUCGCUGGUAUAAGGCCCAGACAUGACGGUGCAGAGGACAUCAGGACCAGCAGGACAUAAAACCCUCACGGUCACAGGGAGAAAGUCAGAUCCCGGGCACCUGACACAGCCAAGCCCUGCUCUCAACAUGUGAGGAAACUGAGGCCCAGGAGCCUGGAGAUGUGUCUGCUCCAGGUCACACUGUGGGCUGUAGGGGUCCGGAACCCAGACAUGUGGACUGCGCCAGGCUCUAGCCAAUGACUCCUCCAAACCACUGCACCUCCCCAGCCCUCCAGAGUUCUCAUCUGAAAAACGGGGCAUCAGGUCUGAAGGUCUUCAAUGCCCCUUCUGGCUGGGAUAUCAGAGUUUUGGGACCUCUCUCUCCAGGUCCUCAUGAGUCCAGCAGGAGCUCUGGCAGGUCCAGGGUCCCCUCCUUCCCUCUGCUGCCACUGCUCAGCACCCAACCCUUUUUAAAAUUAGCUCUGUGAGUUACAGAAGUAAUCCCUGCUUUCUUGUUAACAUGUUUCAAACAGCACAGAAGGGUUCAAGGUGGAAGCUGAAGGUACUCCCCAGUCUCCCCCACAACCCCCAGCCCACCUCUGCUAGGUCCCACAUGGCCUUUGGGAAACAUAUGCAUUGUUCCCUCUUCCCAUAGAAGCCAGAAGGGAAGUCUGGAAUCAGUGAGCCAGGUACAGCUCUGGGCCCAGGCCCAGAGAUCCCACACUCAUGCCAGCCCCUACCCACGCCAGCCCCCUCCCUGUGCCAGCCACCGCCCCUCCAUCUAUGCAGGCCCCCUACCACCAAGCCCAUCGAUAGGGGCUCAUUAUUCCGUCCUGUCUCCCUAGGAUGGGGCAGAGUGACAGCUGUUCCGUGUUUAAUUACCGAUGGGCUGAGGCUAUGCCAACCCAUGAAUAAAAUUACAGUUGUUCUGCAAUGCAAAUAUUGCGGGCCUCCGUCUGAGGGUGCGUGCGGG